This 521-nucleotide unclassified non-coding RNA is filed under the name Hevea brasiliensis (rubber tree). Lineage: Eukaryota; Viridiplantae; Streptophyta; Magnoliopsida; Malpighiales; Euphorbiaceae. The record is from RNAcentral.
GGCAUGGUGGCUGAGACUGCCCUCUGGGGUAAACAAUCAGCCGACAAUCCCGGUUACCAAUCUGAAACCUCCUGCUCUUUAUGCAAAGCCCAGUAAUCUUCCUUUUCUUUAAAAUAUCCUUCAACCUUGUGAAGUUUUCAAUCCUCCAUGUAAACUUUCCCAUGUGACCAUCAGAUUUCCUGGAACCACCCCCAUUCCUCACUCCAACCAGUCCCCCAUUCUUCGAAAAGCUACUAAGCUCUUUAAUAACAUGGAACGAAGUGCUAAAAACAGCAGUGUCAUCUACCAAGAACCCUGAAUCUGAUCCCAUAAAAUCCACCAUUUUCAUAUAAUCGUUCCAUCCCAAACUUGUGUUAUCCCCACUCUUAUUAUCAGCAGCAAACCUUCCAUAUGAAUCCCGGUGCAUGUGAUUCAAGCCCGGCUUCUGAUUCAACACUGACAUUCUAAACAAGCACCAACAACUUCGAUCCGAAAUCAAUGUCUUCUCUGUAUCCUUACUCUCUAAACACAUAGACAAAUAC